Molecule: long non-coding RNA, 2915 nt
Organism: Gasterosteus aculeatus aculeatus (three-spined stickleback)
Lineage: Eukaryota; Metazoa; Chordata; Actinopteri; Perciformes; Gasterosteidae
Source: Ensembl
AAACAGUCAAAACCACGCAAGAUGAGAGGGGAUGGGAUUUGGGGCUCGUCCUGUUUUUGAAAUCUCCAGAAAGCAGGAGGCUCGGCGCUGAGCGAGGCAGUGCUCGGCGAAGUCACGUGACGCGUGCUUCGGAAAGCAGAUUUCAGGACCGUGGACAGGGACAACAUCUUCAACAAGAUGCCGCAAAAGUUGAGUCCCCCCCCACACCCCCCCGCAAGCCUCCGGCAUUAAGCACCGGGGAUGCAGGGCAAUUAUUGAGAAUGGCGGAUAUUCAAGAGAUAAUUUCCCUCUUUGACUGAAAUCAGACAUUUGACAGGCUCAUAUAAAAAGUACACUGAUUUGCCAUUCAUCUUAUUCUUCCCAACAAAGUAAUUCAUCAGCGUUGGUAAUCUGAGUUGGUUACAUAAGACAAUAAAACUGCUCCAUCACCUAGAGGACUCGUUUUUUGGUGCAGUUGAGCCACACUCUAGUGCAUCUCAGUAGAAACAUUUCAUCAUUGAGUACGUCGUCCACUUACUUGCACAGUCGAGGCUUUCAGACGCUUUUCAUGGUCUUCGUCCAUCGGUGAGUAUAAACACACAAGUCAAUGUCAACAAUGGGCUUCUUUGAAGACAAUUCUUGAACUCAUGUUAAUAUCCUCCAGGAAUAAAAGAUUAGUUUCAAUGUUUGUAGGUUAAAACAUGGUCUGACUGUUUAAGAUUGUCCUUUACUGUCUCAUGUAAAGUUACACAAGGUUUCUUUUCAAUAGAAUACAGAAUCACACUUUAAGAUUAUAGAAACUAAUUUUGAUUGGUUGUCUUGUUUUAAUAUCUUAUUUCUUUAAUAUAUUUUAACCGUUGCCCCACACUGUAUCCAAUGUUUGCAAAGGGACAGCGUUUGAUGGCUCAAUUAGUUAAAAACGGGUGACCACCUGGCAGACGCUUCCUCCAACAUCCCCGGGUUACACAGGGUGCAUCCAUUGCAGGUUGCAAAUUGUGUGAGAAACAGAACACAGAGAAGAGAAGAAGCGGAAGGUGCGUCCGCAGCCGCAGGAGGGCAGAGCUCAAGAGAGGAAACACUCUGCACUCGUGGAAAUAACAAGUUGUUCAGCAAACAACAACAAAAAUGCGGGCAGAGCAGACAGGCCGGAGCCACUGAAGCACAAUGAAAUUAAGGCCCACACGAGGAAUAAUCGUACCUACUCCAAAACGUUUUUGUUCAUCCACAGAUUGGAUUUCUUCAAACAGCGUUGACGCAAAGCAAUGUCAUCUCGGUUCACUGCAGCUCUUUCCAGCAGUAUUUGGACACAUGCAUGUAUUUAUUUCAGCCUACAAUGUGCGCACCCUGCUUGAGGGCUAAUUACAUUUGCACAGCUCAAAGGCCCGCGAGUGUCACCUUUCCUUUUGAGACACCUCCCUGGCACAACGGCGUGGAGGAAAACAUCACGAGAUUUGGGGAAAACGAAGCUCGUAAUUGUGAUCUACUCGUGUUUGUGAUCAAGAAGUUCACAAGCAUAAGCACGUUGAAACAUAACCCACGGUUCAUUUGUCACGGAUGUUUCUUAGCCUGUCUAGUGCGGACACACACGCGCGCGCUCACGUGCGCUCACACAUGCCGUGAAGACCACGUGAGCUACAGAGGAGCAGAAAGAGACGACGAGAGGGAAGCACAGUUGACUUCCUCUGUCGUUACUCACACCUGCAGUAGAAUGCAUCUCCAUAGCAACAAGACUUGCAACUGUGCAGAGUUGAUAUUUGAGGUUGUGAUCUUUAAUGCCCACUUUUAUCUCCCUUUUUUACUGCAGUAUUUUGUGGAAAUGCAUUUCUCGGUGGGUUUUCUCCCUGACCUCCUCUCUUAAUUGGGUUUGUUUCACAACUAAGACUCGCUUGUCAUCAGUCUGUCAACUGAAAGCUAUUAAUAAAUCAUCCCAAAUCAUGCUCAUAUACGCAGGAACAAAAAUGGUGUAAUGAUUUCUUUGACUACAUCUCUCCUGUCAGCCAAUUACUGUAUACAAUGAACAUGUAAUUCAAAUUGGCUUAUACAAUUAUUGUAUCAUUAUUAUUAUAUAGUUAUUGUACAAUUAUAUAAUAUAUUGUGCCUACACGAUGCCAUCUUUUCUAAAACCUUUUUAAGUUGUUUCCGUAAUUUGAGUGUCAAAAUCAUGCGUGCAUGAUAAUCUAGAGUUUACUCAGCAAAGUAAAGUCAGUAAGGAAGGAAUAGUUUACAGUAUAUGUAACACAGCGGAGAUACGGUAUUCUCUCAGCACAUAUAAAAUAAAUGUAUUUUUUAUCAAUAUCAAAAUAAACUUAACACAUUUAUUGUGCUCUACUGUUACGGUUACACUUCUAUUUGUUGUAUAAGCUUUGGUACUAUAUCAAGAACGAACUCCCACCACCUCAUUUGAAUAAUGUGUCGUCGGUCUAAUUGGCACUGCUUCUUCUUCAUGAUGAUUUUCAAAUAUUGUGUAUUAUGAAUAAUGACAUGCUCUGCACACUACUUACAGUAUCACGCUGCACGCUUUUAUCCCCGAUGAUGUAAGCAAGUUCAAAAUCUUUAAGUGUAAUCAGGUGAAAGACCUGAGAGAUAAUUGAAAAUGCACACGCCAAGGAGGUAACAACAAAGUGGCAGUGGCCGUUCCUUUGAAGCUGAUGCGUUAUGUUGUUAUUAUGGGCAACAUUCAUAGCAGAUAAGGACACCUUAAAACCCUCUGUAAUUGUAUGCAUGAUGAAUAUAAAAGCUGCUGAGCCGAAGGCCUCGGGUGGAUUUCUUAUUUCACAAGAACCCUUAGAUGUCCUCGUGUCGAAUUCGUCACUCUGUUUUUUUUAUUAUUUUAUCCCUCUUAAAUAUGCAUCUAAUAGCCGGCAUUAGCUUCUCCCGAGAAGUGCAGCCUCAUCAUGUGGUAAUAAUGAGCCUGGUGGCCACUCGCAGGCAGGCUG